RNAcentral lists this signal recognition particle RNA (99 nucleotides) under Phycisphaeraceae bacterium. Its description in RNAcentral is "signal recognition particle sRNA small type". It matches the Rfam family "Bacterial small signal recognition particle RNA". Rfam says of the family: The signal recognition particle (SRP) is a universally conserved ribonucleoprotein involved in the co-translational targeting of proteins to membranes. Archaeal SRP consists of a 7S RNA and homologues of the eukaryotic SRP19 and SRP54 proteins. In most bacteria, the SRP consists of a 4.5S RNA and the Ffh protein (a homologue of the eukaryotic SRP54 protein). Lineage: Bacteria; Pseudomonadati; Planctomycetota; Phycisphaerae; Phycisphaerales; Phycisphaeraceae. The record is from RNAcentral. RNAcentral also lists the same sequence under 2 other names.
GGCCGGGCCCGGUGCACGGAUGGCCCGUGAAUCUGGUCAGGGCUUGACCGCAGCAGCCAUAAGCGAGCGUCGUCCGGUGCCGCCGGUGUCCUGGCCGUC